This is a non-coding RNA of Potamilus streckersoni, 70 nucleotides long. The record is from the annotation of a GenBank genome assembly. NCBI's taxonomy places the organism in Eukaryota, Metazoa, Mollusca, Bivalvia, Unionida, Unionidae.
UGAUGGCCUAAUGGUUAGAGAGUCCGCCUCGAAUGCGGGAGGUCGUGUGUUCGAUCCCCGGCCAUAAAAA